This 253-nucleotide ribosomal RNA is filed under the name uncultured bacterium. RNAcentral describes it as "partial 16S ribosomal RNA". It matches the Rfam family "Bacterial small subunit ribosomal RNA", at positions 524 to 776 of the family's 1533-position model. The record is from RNAcentral.
UACGGAGGGUGCAAGCGUUGUCCGGAAUCACUGGGCGUAAAGGGCGCGUAGGUGGCGCGGGCAGUCAACGGUGAAAGUUCGGGGCUCAACCCUGAAUCGGCCGUCGAUACUCCCGGGCUUGAGCACUGUAGAGGCAGAUGGAAUUCCGGGUGUAGCGGUGGAAUGCGUAGAGAUCCGGAAGAACACCGGUGGCGAAGGCGGUCUGCUGGGCAGUAGCUGACACUGAGGCGCGACAGCGUGGGGAGCGAUCCGG